Molecule: ribosomal RNA, 253 nt
Filed under: uncultured bacterium
Lineage: Bacteria
Description: partial 16S ribosomal RNA
Rfam family: Bacterial small subunit ribosomal RNA
Source: RNAcentral
UACGAAGGUCCCAAGCGUUGUUCGGAAUCACUGGGCGUAAAGCGUGUGUAGGCUGCGCGGAAAGUCAAAUGUGAAAGCCCAGGGCUUAACCCUGGAACUGCAUUCGAUGCUCCCGUGCUUGAGUAAUGGAGAGGUAAGUGGAAUUCCCGGUGUAGCAGUGAAAUGCGUAGAUAUCGGGAGGAACAGCAAUGGCGAAGGCAGCUUACUGGACAUUUACUGACGCUCAGACACGAAGGCCAGGGGAGCGAAAGGG